CAUUACCUGAAAGAAUAUAUCUGGAUUAAAAUUUGAGAAGCCUGGUAAUAUUGUUCUGUUGGCUCACACGCCCAAUCAUCUGGUGCCUACUGUAGUGAAUACACCAGAUAUUGGGGCAUUCAUCUUGGGUUGGAGAUUGUCAAAUUCGGAAUGGGCCUGGUCUGAAACUUGACAAAAAAAAUGAACUAGAAGUCAUGUCUAGUAGUGAGCUAGAAGGCAUAUAGCUUUUAUUAUUGAAUCACAGCAAGUAUUAUAAGUUAUAACCAUACCAUACUGUGAAUUUAAGAACUAAGAACCAGGAAUUCUUCAGAAAUUUCGACGAAUAGAUUAUAAUUUAUAGUGGAACUCAAUUUUAAGUACCUGCUCCUUUUUUGGUUACUUUAUGAGGCAACAGUAGUGAGUCCAAAGGCAUGAUUACUCACAGUUAAAGUUGUGAGGCUGUGGUUAUUGGAUAGAAUCCUCUGAGGCGCUGCGAGUCACUGCAUCGCUCAUGUUUGCAUCUAACCUUGUUAUUGCUGUUAUGAGCUUUUACAGUUCAGGCUACUAUUGUUCCCUCUAGGUGUAAAGUUUGGUCUUUCAGGCACAAGAACCUUUCUUUGUUUUGUUGCUCGAAGAGAUGAGAUAAGAAAAAAGGGGAUUAUCUUGUACUUUUUGCAAUCCUUGGUUCCCUUUGGAAUGUGAGGCUAAGAUAUUCUAUAUGAUUCAUGGUCACCAGCCAUGACUGCUAGUUCCAUCUGUAUCAGCAUUCUCUCCAUGUUAUCGAGUUCCACU
Non-coding RNA from Prunus avium (sweet cherry), 771 nucleotides. Lineage: Eukaryota; Viridiplantae; Streptophyta; Magnoliopsida; Rosales; Rosaceae. The record is from RefSeq and is a predicted model, not a curated record.